Molecule: unclassified non-coding RNA, 293 nt
Filed under: Hevea brasiliensis (rubber tree)
Lineage: Eukaryota; Viridiplantae; Streptophyta; Magnoliopsida; Malpighiales; Euphorbiaceae
Source: RNAcentral
GUUGUUGUGGACAGUCAGAUCAAUUCAGAUCACAUUGAAAUGUAUGCUGAUCGAACAGCUAAAGGAAACGUCCUUGAGCCUGAAGGAAUUAUUGAGAUCAAGUUCAGGACAAAGGAGCUGCUUGAGUGCAUGGGUCGGCUUGAUCAACAGCUGAUCACUUUGAAGGCGAAACUUCAGGAAGCUAGAAAUAGUGGAACUUAUGGUAUGGUUGAAUCUAUACAGCAGCAGAUAAAAUCUCGUGAAAAGCAACUUUUGCCAAUGUAUACUCAGAUAGCCACCAGAUUUGCAGAGCU